GAUGAACGCUGGCGGCGUGCCUAAUACAUGCAAGUCGAGCGAACAGAUGAGGAGCUUGCUCCUCUGACGUUAGCGGCGGACGGGUGAGUAACACGUGGAUAACCUACCUAUAAGACUGGGAUAACUUCGGGAAACCGGAGCUAAUACCGGAUAAUAUAUUGAGCCGCAUGGUUCAAUAGUGAAAGACGGUUUUGCUGUCACUUAUAGAUGGAUCCGCGCCGCAUUAGCUAGUUGGUAAGGUAACGGCUUACCAAGGCAACGAUGCGUAGCCGACCUGAGAGGGUGAUCGGCCACACUGGAACUGAGACACGGUCCAGACUCCUACGGGAGGCAGCAGUAGGGAAUCUUCCGCAAUGGGCGAAAGCCUGACGGAGCAACGCCGCGUGAGUGAUGAAGGUCUUCGGAUCGUAAAACUCUGUUAUUAGGGAAGAACAAAUGUGUAAGUAACUAUGCACGUCUUGACGGUACCUAAUCAGAAAGCCACGGCUAGCUACGUG
RNAcentral lists this ribosomal RNA (497 nucleotides) under uncultured bacterium. RNAcentral describes it as "partial 16S ribosomal RNA". It matches the Rfam family "Bacterial small subunit ribosomal RNA", at positions 28 to 507 of the family's 1533-position model. The record is from RNAcentral.